AAAUCCUGACUAGUAAUGGAAAGGAUGGAUUUAUUACAUACAAAAACCAAUGCAUUAAAUUGUUAACUUCGGGGGGUGGUCUUAUUGGUGAUUCAUAAUAACUUUACGAAUCGUUUUGCCUUGUGCUGGCGAUAAUUCAUUCAAAUUUCUGCCCUAUCAACUUUCGAUGGUAGUAUAGAGGACUACCAUGGUGGUAACGGGUAACGGAGAAUCAGGGUUUGAUUCCGGAGAAGGAGCCUGAGAAACGGCUACUACUUCUAAGGAAGGCAGCAGGCGCGCAAAUUACCCAAUCCCGACACGGGGAGGUAGUGACAAAAAAUAACAAUAUCGAUAAUUAUUUUUAUUGAUAAUUGGAAUGAGUACAAUCUAAAUCCCUUAACGAGUAACAAUUGGAGGGCAAGUCUGGUGCCAGCAGCCGCGGUAAUUCCAGCUCCAAUAGCAUAUAUUAAAGUUGUUGCAGUUAAAAAGCUCGUAGUUGGAUUUUAAAGUUUUAUAUUUUGCGCUACUUAAAAGAGUAUAAUUUUAUUAAUAACUCUCCUUACUAGAUAUUCACAAUUAUUUUUAAUUAAAUAGUUGGUUUUAUUCGAAAGGAUAAAAUGCUUAAUAGGUCUGGGAAUUAAGAUGUGGUUUAUUUACGAGGCAACUUGUUGAAUAAAUCUGCUUAAUUAACUUCUAUAAAGUAGAAUUCUAGUUCAUUUACUUUGAGUAAAUUAGAGUGUUCAAAGCAAACAAAUUAUUUUGUAAUGAAUACUAUUAGCAUGGGAUAAUGGAACAGGACAUUGGGUCUAUUUCGUUGGUUUUUAGAACUAAUGUAAUGAUUAAAAGGGAUAGUUGGGGGCAUUAGUAUUUAAUUGUCAGAGGUGAAAUUCUUGGAUUUAUGAAAGACUAACUUCUGCGAAAGCAUUUGUCAAAGAUGUUUUCAUUAAUCAAGAACGAAAGUUAGGGGAUCGAAGACGAUCAGAUACCGUCGUAGUCUUAACCAUAAACUAUGCCGACCAGGGAUUGGAAGUAGCAUACACUCAUUUUUUGAGUAUUACUACCUUUUUACGAGAAAUCACAAGUUUUUGGGUUCUGGGGGGAGUAUGGUCGCAAGGCUGAAACUUAAAGGAAUUGACGGAAGGGCACCACCAGGAGUGGAGCCUGCGGCUUAAUUUGACCCAACACGGGAAAACUUACCAGGUCCAGACACAGUUAGGAUUGACAGAUUGAGAGCUCUUUCUUGAUUCUGUGGGUGGUGGUGCAUGGCCGUUCUUAGUUGGUGGAGUGAUUUGUCUGGUUAAUUCCGAUAACGAACGAGACCUCAGCCUGCUAAUUAGUUGUAUUAAUAAUAACAUUAUGGGUGGAUUUAUUCUUGAUUAGAAAACCUGUUUUUAUUGAUAUCAGGUGCUGGUAAAACAGUAUUUUUACUUCUUAGAGGGACACUUGGUGUUUAACCAAGGGAAGUUUGAGGCAAUAACAGGUCUGUGAUGCCCUUUAGAUGUUCUGGGCUGCACGCGCGCUACACUGAUACAAUCAACAAGCACAAAAGACCUCAUCCGAAAGGUUUGGGUAAACUUUUGAAAUUGUAUCGUGCUGGGGAUCGAUAAUUGCAAUUAUUUAUCGUGAACGAGGAAUUCCUAGUAGGCGCAAGUCAACAGCUUGCGCCGAUUACGUCCCUGCCCUUUGUACACACCGCCCGUCGCUGCCUCUGAUGGUUGGUCGUGCGGUGAAUUCUUAUGAUUGAGAACAGUUAUUGAUU
RNAcentral lists this ribosomal RNA (1738 nucleotides) under uncultured eukaryote. RNAcentral's name for it is "partial small subunit ribosomal RNA". It matches the Rfam family "Eukaryotic small subunit ribosomal RNA", at positions 174 to 1733 of the family's 1831-position model. The record is from RNAcentral.